CACUUUAGUUCAGGAAGAAGUUGAGCAGUUUAAGAGAUGGUUCAAUUGACUGUACUGAAAGAAUAAGCACCGGCUAACUCUGUGC
RNAcentral lists this ribosomal RNA (85 nucleotides) under uncultured bacterium. RNAcentral's name for it is "partial 16S ribosomal RNA". The record is from RNAcentral.